This is a long non-coding RNA of Anastrepha ludens (Mexican fruit fly), 1006 nucleotides long. RefSeq lists it as uncharacterized. The transcript has 3 exons. The record is from RefSeq and is a predicted model, not a curated record. NCBI's taxonomy places the organism in Eukaryota, Metazoa, Arthropoda, Insecta, Diptera, Tephritidae.
ACAAUCAAUAGAAAUUCGUGCCACACCUUUCGAAAAGUUUACGUGACUUCAGAGUCGAGUAAAAACUGACCAGAGGCAACAUUUAAUACUACUAACAAACACAUACGCAUGGAUGCAAAUAACCAGCAGUAGUAGGAGCAAAAUCACACAUUCACACAAAUUUUCAUAGAAUUUGUGUGUCUAAAUCGACUGACUGUGGUUCUUGGCAACGUUUGAGUACUGUGGUUUUGCUGGAUAUUUUAGAAAUUGCAGCAACAAAGAUUCUGGAAUGAAAGCACAGAUCAGCAAAGACCGACGAUACAAAUAAUAAUAACAAGACAAAAUAGUAAUGAAUGCCACCAACAAUACCAACAACAGCAACAACAUCAAAAAAUCAGUUCAUCAACUCGAUUUCGAGUUCGAGUUCAGUUCGAAGGCAUUGAAGUCAAUACAAUUUGGAAAAUAUUUGGUUGUAAAAUGCUGAAGUGAAGUAGAAACCACAGAGCAACCGAAGCGAGUGACAUUUUGUUAUUAUUCCAAUGAAGAAUGGUCACUGAGAUGUGUGUACAGUUGAAUGUUUAUACUGAAACCCGUAGAGGGAGUGCAGUGAAGUCUUGCAGCAUAGAGUGAGGAGUGUAAGGCAUAAAUAAAAGGCGGAAAUGCAUUGCAUUUUCAUAUGAGGCAAUUAAUCAGACUUAUUUGUACGGAAAAAAGUAUGCAACCGCUGCAAUGGUGCCAGUGCACACGUGCCACAUGGUGUUUGAAGGAAAAGUGUUUCGAGGGCACCGAUGACUAGGGAAAUCUGCUUUACUUUUUCUUUGCAAAAGCCGCAAAAUAAAAGUGUUUCAAAUAUGCUGAAAAGAAAGUAGAAUUUCGCGAGUUUUUCACAAUUGCACUUUGCGAUUCUUGCAUUGCGUCUGUAGUGGGGAGAAUUUCAGCUUCAAAAGCCAUAAAAAGGAGUUCUAUCCCUGCACCAUAGAGAAGUGCACCAUGUAGUGAAAGUAGUCAAUACCUGAAUUUCCUGCAU